AACGAACGCUGGCGGCAGGCCUAACACAUGCAAGUCGAGCGCACUUUCGGGGGAGCGGCGGAUGGGUGAGUAACGCGUGGGGAUAUGCCCUUCUCUACGGAAUAGCCUCGGGAAACUGAGAGUAAUACCGUAUACGCCCUGUGGGGGAGAGAUUUAUCGGGGAAGGAUUAGUCGCGUUGGAUUAGGUAGUUGGUGGGGUAAUGGCCUACCAAGCCGACAAUCCAUAGCUGGUUUGAGAGGAUGAUCAGCCACACUGGGACUGAGACACGGCCCAGACUCCUACGGGAGGCAGCAGUGGGGAAUCUUAGACAAUGGGGGCAACCCUGAUCUAGCCAUGCCGCGUGAGUGAUGAAGGCCUGAGGGUUGUAAAGCUCUUUCAGCUGGGAAGAUAAUGACGGUACCAGCAGAGGAAGCCCCGGCUAACUCCGUG
This 430-nucleotide ribosomal RNA is filed under the name uncultured bacterium. RNAcentral's name for it is "partial 16S ribosomal RNA". It matches the Rfam family "Bacterial small subunit ribosomal RNA", at positions 29 to 507 of the family's 1533-position model. The record is from RNAcentral.